Molecule: non-coding RNA, 544 nt
Organism: Paramuricea clavata
Lineage: Eukaryota; Metazoa; Cnidaria; Anthozoa; Malacalcyonacea; Plexauridae
Source: the annotation of a GenBank genome assembly
GGAGUGUCGAAACGUUGGGUCUUUAUAACAAUUCUACUGGGCUUUGUAAUCAUUUAUUUAAACCAGAGUAGCGAGCAAAACAUGAUUCAAAGAACAAUUGCCCUUUAGAACAAAUAUGCACAUUUAUGCUCGAGUUACAAUGUUUGAUAUCUGGUGCCGGUUGUUCAAAGCUGGGUUAGCUUAACCCUAGGUUAACCUAAGAUUCAAAGCAAACUUCAUGACAGCUUGUCUAUAAAUUCGGAAAUAUUUCUUCAGAGAUCUUGUCUGGAUCGAUAGGAGUUUUCUUCUCUGAAAUAAACAGACGUGCAGAAAUACACAAACUAAAACAGCAGGUAAACUUUUACUGUCGUUCCAAUUGAAGUGUUUCUCAAAUAUUGAUUCAUACAUUACCUCAGGCUGACGAAUUCAUUUGAUCAAGUUCCUCGAAAUAUUCAUACACUUCCUAGUAUAAUAUUAUUGUAAACUUCCUGUUGAAUAGUUUGAAUGCACCAAUCACCUUUGUUGUUUGUGCAACCAAUCAUAAAUAGAAAGGAAGUGACCCGAA